This 304-nucleotide long non-coding RNA is filed under the name Cicer arietinum (chickpea). RNAcentral's name for it is "long non-coding RNA (CARI_LNC000524)". The record is from RNAcentral. Lineage: Eukaryota; Viridiplantae; Streptophyta; Magnoliopsida; Fabales; Fabaceae.
ACUGGUGCAUACAAACUAUUUGAUCCCACAAAUAAGAAGAUUUUGUUCAAGAAUGAUGUAAGAUUUUAUAAGACAAUGUAUUGACAUUGGAAGGAAAGUACAACAAGUGUUGGAAGACAAUUUAACUUUUCUGAUUUAGAACAGCCUGAACAAGAUGUGAAUGCAGAUGGAGAAGGUCUAAGAAAAUCCAGUAGACACAUUCAGAUUCCACAAAGGUUGAAUGAUUGUGUUAGAUUCCCAAAUUCAACAUUAAAUGAUGAAGGUGAAUUGUUGUAGUUUUCUUUACUAGCUGAAUCAAAACCGG